GGCGAACGGGUGAGUAAUACAUCGGAACAUGUCCAGUAGUGGGGGAUAGCCCGGCGAAAGCCGGAUUAAUACCGCAUACGAUCUACGGAUGAAAGCGGGGGAUCGCAAGACCUCGCGCUAUUGGGGUGGCCGAUGGCGGAUUAGCUAGUUGGUGGGGUAAAGGCCUACCAAGGCGACGAUCCGUAGCUGGUCUGAGAGGACGACCAGCCACACUGGGACUGAGACACGGCCCAGACUCCUACGGGAGGCAGCAGUGGGGAAUUUUGGACAAUGGGCGAAAGCCUGAUCCAGCAAUGCCGCGUGUGUGAAGAAGGCCUUCGGGUUGUAAAGCACUUUUGUCCGGAAAGAAAUCCUGGUGGCUAAUAUCCGCGGGGAUGACGGUACCCGGAAGAAUAAGCACCGGUAAACUACGUGCCAGCCGGCGCGG
Molecule: ribosomal RNA, 427 nt
Filed under: uncultured bacterium
Lineage: Bacteria
Description: bacterial SSU rRNA
Rfam family: Bacterial small subunit ribosomal RNA
Source: RNAcentral